This 320-nucleotide ribosomal RNA is filed under the name uncultured bacterium. RNAcentral describes it as "partial 16S ribosomal RNA". It matches the Rfam family "Bacterial small subunit ribosomal RNA", at positions 28 to 334 of the family's 1533-position model. The record is from RNAcentral.
GAUGAACGCUGGCGGCGUGCCUAACACAUGCAAGUCGAGCGAAGCACUCUACCUGAUUUCUUCGGGAUGAAGGUUUAGUGACUGAGCGGGCGUGGCAAGGUACGCUAGGUAACGUGCUCAUACAGGGGAUAACAGUUAGAAUGACUGCUAAUACCGCAGUAAGACCACAGCACCGCAUGGUGCAGGGGUAAAAACUCCGGUGGUAUGAGAUGGAUCCGCGUCUGAUUAGCUAGUUGGUAAGGUAACGGCUUACCAAGGCAACGAUCAGUAGCCGACCUGAGAGGGUGACCGGCCACAUUGGGGACUGAGACACGGCCCAA